UCGCCUCCUAAAAGGUAACGGAGGCGCUCAAAGGUUCCCUCAGAAUGGUUGGAAAUCAUUCAUAGAGUGUAAAGGCAUAAGGGAGCUUGACUGCGAGACCUACAAGUCGAGCAGGGUCGAAAGACGGACUUAGUGAUCCGGUGGUUCCGCAUGGAAGGGCCAUCGCUCAACGGAUAAAAGCUACCCCGGGGAUAACAGGCUUAUCUCCCCCAAGAGUUCACAUCGACGGGGAGGUUUGGCACCUCGAUGUCGGCUCAUCGCAUCCUGGGGCUGUAGUCGGUCCCAAGGGUUGGGCUGUUCGCCCAUUAAAGCGGUACGCGAGCUGGGUUCAGAACGUCGUGAGACAGUUCGGUCCCUAUCCGUCGUGGGCGUAGGAAAUUUGAGAGGAGCUGUCCUUAGUACGAGAGGACCGGGAUGGACAUACCUCUGGUGUACCAGUUGUCGUGCCAACGGCAUAGCUGGGUAGCUAUGUGUGGACGGGAUAAGUGCUGAAAGCAUCUAAGCAUGAAGCCCCCCUCAAGAUGAGAUUUCCCAACUUCGGUUAUAAGAUCCCUCAAAGAUGAUGAGGUUAAUAGGUUCGAGGUG
Molecule: ribosomal RNA, 585 nt
Filed under: Staphylococcus aureus
Lineage: Bacteria; Bacillati; Bacillota; Bacilli; Caryophanales; Staphylococcaceae
Description: partial 23S ribosomal RNA
Rfam family: Bacterial large subunit ribosomal RNA
Source: RNAcentral